Molecule: small RNA, 28 nt
Filed under: Bombyx mori (domestic silkworm)
Lineage: Eukaryota; Metazoa; Arthropoda; Insecta; Lepidoptera; Bombycidae
Description: ovarian small RNA-33572
Source: RNAcentral
UGCAUGAGUGCAUAUGUCGGACGUGAGU